UGAAUAAGCUUUGUACAUGGCGAUUGGGUCACGAGGAGAAUUUACCCCAAACAUUUUGGGGUUGACCUUCCUGUAGUCGCCCAGAUUCUCACCAGUGCGUGUUUUUGUCUGCCUCUCAUGAAACUCUAAGAAUUCAUCACCCUCGGCAGUGGUUCGCAGCUUCACAUCUCCCCAUCUAAAUAAAAGGGAACAUGGAGUGUGUGGACCAAGGACAGCAGUUUCCCACAUCUGGUCUUUGUCCUCAUCAGUUAGAGGUUCAGCUUCCCUUGGGCGGUUGCCUUGGCCCUGUAUAGAGCAAUGUUCAACUGUUCGAUAAUGUCAAGGUUUCACGAGUCAACGCAAAGUCUGUUCUGGAACCAGACAUAAUGCUGUGUGGAAAAAGAUGACGACGGAAGUACCGAUCCUACAAACGUUAAAAGCCUCUCAAUGAACUUGGUUCAUAGUCCGACCCAUCCGGUUUAGUUAGAGACAGGAUGAAUCUUGCCACAUAGUGGUCUAACUGAUCAACGGGAAUUUCAUGCAUUUGCUUUGUUUCGCCUUGUUGUGCAAGAUAUCUGCGAAAUUUGUUGAUAUCAGCAAAUGUUUUAUUUGCUGUGUUUUUAUUUUCUUGGUCAGUGAUAAAUUUAUUGACAUGUUCAAUGUUAACAUCCUUAAACUCAUUGCUUUUUGAAGUUUCUUGCCUGAUUGAAUCCUUAUUCUGUUCAUUUAUGGGAA
Long non-coding RNA from Dreissena polymorpha, 714 nucleotides. RefSeq lists it as uncharacterized. Lineage: Eukaryota; Metazoa; Mollusca; Bivalvia; Myida; Dreissenidae. The record is from RefSeq and is a predicted model, not a curated record. The transcript has 3 exons.